UACGUAGGGUGCAAGCGUUGUCCGGAAUUACUGGGCGUAAAGCGUGUGUAGGCGGCCGCGCAAGUCGGAUGUGAAAGCCCCGGGCUCAACCCGGGAAGUGCACCCGAUACUGCAUGGCUCGAGUACUGGAGAGGUUGGUGGAAUUCUCGGUGUAGAGGUGAAAUUCGUAGAUAUCGAGAGGAACACCGGUGGCGAAGGCGGCCAACUGGACAGAUACUGACGCUGAGACACGAAAGCGUGGGGAGCAAACAGG
This 253-nucleotide ribosomal RNA is filed under the name uncultured bacterium. RNAcentral's name for it is "partial 16S ribosomal RNA". It matches the Rfam family "Bacterial small subunit ribosomal RNA", at positions 524 to 776 of the family's 1533-position model. The record is from RNAcentral.